AUUGAACGCUGGCGGCAUGCCUUACACAUGCAAGUCGAACGGCAGCAUGAUCUAGCUUGCUAGAUUGAUGGCGAGUGGCGAACGGGUGAGUAAUACAUCGGAACGUGCCCUGUAGUGGGGGAUAACUAGUCGAAAGAUUAGCUAAUACCGCAUACGACCUGAGGGUGAAAGUGGGGGACCGCAAGGCCUCAUGCUAUAGGAGCGGCCGAUGUCUGAUUAGCUAGUUGGUGAGGUAAAGGCUCACCAAGGCGACGAUCAGUAGCUGGUCUGAGAGGACGAUCAGCCACACUGGGACUGAGACACGGCCCAGACUCCUACGGGAGGCAGCAGUGGGGAAUUUUGGACAAUGGGCGAAAGCCUGAUCCAGCAAUGCCGCGUGUGUGAAGAAGGCCUUCGGAUUGUAAAGCACUUUUGUCCGGAAAGAAAUGGCUCUGGUUAAUACCUGGGGUCGAUGACGGUACCGGAAGAAUAAGGACCGGCUAACUACGUG
This 490-nucleotide ribosomal RNA is filed under the name uncultured bacterium. Its description in RNAcentral is "partial 16S ribosomal RNA". It matches the Rfam family "Bacterial small subunit ribosomal RNA", at positions 30 to 507 of the family's 1533-position model. The record is from RNAcentral.